Podarcis muralis (Common wall lizard) is the source of this 1921-nucleotide non-coding RNA. Lineage: Eukaryota; Metazoa; Chordata; Lepidosauria; Squamata; Lacertidae. The record is from RefSeq and is a predicted model, not a curated record.
GUAUUCCCGAGGGGAGCAAAUUCUGAAGAAAAGGGUUCCAGGCGACUGAGCGUGUUCCAUUUGGUUCACUUUGCUGGAAUUACUGUGAACCAGUAACUGAAAUCUACUCUAAUGAAAAAGCUUUAGGGGCUCACUUCGCAGCUACCAGAACUGAAGGCGCUGUGGAGAAUAGAAGAUGGAAGUCAAAGAAACCAAAACAGCUUUCCUUAAGCUUUCUUUCUGAAUCAUGUUUAUAUCGUGUUUGUGAGGGAUAGGCAAUACAUGGUUGGCAGGCCUCAGAACAAUUCCAUGGAGCCAGCAGACACUUAUUUGAAACUGAAAAUCUUCACUUAACGAAACACUAGAUCAGCAAAUGUAGGUUUGUGAACUCAGGCCAGGGAGGUCUCCUCAGCAGCAACAGCCUUGAUAACCUGCUACCAAUUUGAAAAUGGCACCGGAAGUUAUUGUAAAUGAGAAGAUGAUCAUGAAGCAUAUGCUGAUGAUGAAUCCUAGUACUUGUUCCUGCACUUACAAGCUUGCCAUCUAAAAUUAAACACUGGGAGCAAGCAACAGAAGAAGAUGCCUAACCUGAAAGAGACAAGUUAGCCAGCUCAGUAAUUCCACUUACAUCAACAAUGGAGCCACAAAUGUUUAUGUGAAAUUAUGAAAUAAUUUCAGAUGAAUUAGAGCUGAGUUACCUAAACAAGAGAGUUAUGGGGCUCCACCAAUCCAUCAUAAGGUUGCAGCGUGUUUCAUCUAAUGCCUUGGAAUUAUGGGAAUCUUCAUUCGGAUGAGCGCUUGGUCAAAGAGCAGAGCGGGGUCAAUGAAAAAUUAAUUGAAAGCAACCUGUAAGGCUUCCUAUAUGGGAUGAUGGCUCCCUCCCCAUUAGGGAGGAUGUCUGUGAUAUAAACAACUCCUUUGUAUUCUUCACAAUAGGUUGGCUACUUAGGAGUGAGUUCGUCUUCCCAAGCUGUCCAGCCACAAAGGAACUGGAAACUGCUGGUACGGAAUGGACAGGCUUUAUUAUUGGAACACAGGAAGACUUUAUCACCCUGCUGGGAUGAAGAAGGAUGACAGCAAAUGGUGCUGAAUGGGACAACGACGAGGCGCACAGGACCAAAAGCGACAAUACUUGGCAAAGAUUUUUCUCUAUUUUACACCACUGACUUUGAACACUCAGAUGUGCAACAUAAAUGCUCUCUGUCACUAUAAAUAUAGAGUUGCCUGUACAAGCCUGCAGCCUAAACUGAUCACAGCCAGCAACAGAAUGAAGAUAGAUGUUCCCAUCGCGUCCAGCGACACCCCAGUAGGCUGAUAUUUCCUCUGUUUAGCAAACAGGCCUGUUAAGGAAUUUCCUUGGCAAACAGACAACAUGGAAACAUCCUUCAUCCCCAUAGAAUACAUGAGCCAGCAAAAACCAUUUCCUAUGCUAUGGCAACAAUAUCUGCGUAAGGUUAAACAAGACAUUUCAUACCAUCCCUUACUCAGGCCACCGUAUCUAUUUCUGGACCUCUUCUUUUGUUCAACCUUUGCUAAUAAUAGUGACCCAGCUUAGGUGGUAUUUAUAGUCGUUAAAGACUUGUGGCUUGACUUUUCAGAACACUUUAUUCAUGUAUAUUUCCUGUGUUUAUUGUUACCCUAGUUGGGUCUCUCUUUUUUUAAUCAUUAAACGUACUCCAUCCAAGAUUUUUAUUUAGUAACACAUUUUCAAAGAAACUUUUCCUUCACCAAAUGAGCAAGCCAGAUUUAGCUGGAAGCAGAUCACUUCUCUCCUAGGUAGUUUGACUCUCUGUGUGUUUAUUUUGAAGUAAGCCUCACUGUCUUCAGCCGGACUUGCUCCUUGACACAGAAGCAUAGGAUUGCUGCCUUCAUGUCAAUGAAGAAAGCUUUUAGUUUCUUUCCAGUUGCUAGGAGCAACAUUGAAAACACACUGAAGUAAAUA